This 482-nucleotide ribosomal RNA is filed under the name uncultured bacterium. Its description in RNAcentral is "partial 16S ribosomal RNA". It matches the Rfam family "Bacterial small subunit ribosomal RNA", at positions 28 to 523 of the family's 1533-position model. The record is from RNAcentral.
GACGAACGCUGGCGGCGUGCUUAACACAUGCAAGUCGAACGAUGAAACCUAGCUUGCUAGGUCGAUUAGUGGCGAACGGGUGAGUAACACGUGACUAACCUGCCCCUUUCUCUGGGAUAACGCUCCGAAAGGAGUGCUAAUACCGGAUACUCACACCGAGGCACAUGCCUUGGUGUGGAAAGUUUUUCGGAAAGGGAUGGAGUCGCGGCCUAUCAGCUUGUUGGUGAAGUAACGGCUCACCAAGGCGACGACGGGUAGCCGGCCUGGGAGGGCGACCGGCCACACUGGGACUGAGACACGGCCCAGACUCCUACGGGAGGCAGCAGUGGGGAAUAUUGCACAAUGGGCGCAAGCCUGAUGCAGCGACGCCGCGUGAGGGAUGAAGGUCUUCGGAUUGUAAACCUCUUUCAGUAGGGACGAAGCGAAAGUGACGGUACCUAAAGAAGAAGCACCGGCUAACUACGUGCCAGCAGCCGCCGUAA